GGAGAUGCCUUCUGGAGUCUAUGGCGGGGAUAUGUAUCACCAGGGAUAUGGGUAUGCUCCCUAUGGUACCUACCCUACUCCUGAUUCACCAGUUCCUACCAUGGGUAGUGAUGGUCAACUAUAUGGAGCCCAGCACUAUCAGUAUCCAACACAAUAUUACCAGCCUCCUACACCCAAUGCUUCCUAUGCACCUCACCAAGACCCUACUCGAGCGUCUGUUUCAGCUGCCGCCGCUACCAACCAGGCUUCUCUUUCUGCAAAUUUAGUUAAAGCAACCCCAAAUGGAACCACCAAAGGAAAUGCAAAUGGAAACAAUGGAUCAUCACCCCUGAAGCAAAGCCACCAGAAUCGACCAUCUCUGUCUAACAGUACGUAUUUGAAGGGUGGAGUGCCUGGCGGGCUUUCUGCUUCCGGCUAUCAGGACUUCAGAUAUGGUUAUGAUACCAUGCAAUCACCUGUAUCGUGGUAUGAUGGAACUUUGUUAUCUACUGGGCAACAAAGGCCUUCCACAACUGCAUCGGCUUUUCCUCACAAUGUCGGCAAUUCUUCAGCAAGAAACCAGAAUCAACAGCCCCUUCCCCACCUCAUGGGCUUACACACCCAAAGACCAUUGCCCGGGAUGAUGGGUUCAACUUCUCCUGGUUUUUCGAGCAAGCUGUAUCCGUCUUCCAACCGACUGUAUGGUCAGUAUGGGAAUACAUACAGGUCUGUUUCUGGAUAUGGACCAAGUUGGUACGAUUCUAGGAUCAAUGGGCGAUGGAGCUUGGUUACAGACAACAAGUACAAGCCUAGAGGCCGAGGCAACAGUUCAUAUGGCUAUGGCAAUGAAAACCUGGAUGGUUUUAGUGAGCUCAACAGAGG
This 861-nucleotide unclassified non-coding RNA is filed under the name Hevea brasiliensis (rubber tree). Lineage: Eukaryota; Viridiplantae; Streptophyta; Magnoliopsida; Malpighiales; Euphorbiaceae. The record is from RNAcentral.